Molecule: unclassified non-coding RNA, 253 nt
Filed under: uncultured Rickettsiales bacterium
Lineage: Bacteria; Pseudomonadati; Pseudomonadota; Alphaproteobacteria; Rickettsiales
Description: contains 16S-23S intergenic spacer region
Rfam family: Bacterial small subunit ribosomal RNA
Source: RNAcentral
UACGAAGGGGGCUAGCGUUGUUCGGAAUCACUGGGCGUAAAGCGCGCGUAGGUGGACAUUCAAGUCAGAGGUGAAAUCCCAGGGCUCAACCCUGGAAUUGCCUUUGAAACUGUAUGUCUGGAGUCUCGGAGGGGGCAGGGGAAUUCCUAGUGUAGAGGUGAAAUUCGUAGAUACUAGGAGGAACACCGGCGGCGAAGGCGCCUGCCUGGACGAGUACUGACGCUGAGGUGCGAAAGCGUGGGGAGCAAACAGG